Long non-coding RNA from Rosa chinensis, 834 nucleotides. RefSeq lists it as uncharacterized. The record is from RefSeq and is a predicted model, not a curated record. The transcript has 5 exons. NCBI's taxonomy places the organism in Eukaryota, Viridiplantae, Streptophyta, Magnoliopsida, Rosales, Rosaceae.
AAUGAGGAAUGAGGAUCACUUGUAUGCAUUUGUGGAUCCUGGCCGCAUCUCUAAUGAAGCUAGAAAGGUUGAGGCUAGAUCAUGUGCGCUAUCACUGAGAUUAGAAUCUGCCAAAUUAGAUCAGUUAAUUCUUGCUUCUUAUAAUACAGGGAAUCAUUGGUUAUUGGCUGCUAUUAACACGUUUACUACAUUGGUGUAUUACUUCGACCCAUUGAGUAACAUUAACAUCAAUCCAGGCAUGAAGAACAUUAUAGAGCUGUAAUAAUUCUGUCCUUUACUUUUCAUUUCGAAAAUUGAAUAAAAUGAUAUGCUGGAGUGGUCAUCAGAUCAUUGGCUUACUAUUUUGUUAUUGAGCUGUUCAUGAUGUAGUUCCAUUAAGAUGUUUAAUGCUCAAAAGGGAAGAAAGUCUCGUAAACCAGUUCAUUGGGAGGUGGUUAAGUGUCCUAGACAACCUGGAUCUGUGGAAUGUGGAUAUUAUGUUAUGAAGUACAUGAAAGAAAUUAUUGGAACUCCAAGCAGCUCAAUUUUAAAUAUGUUCGAGGGAAAAGAGACUUACACUCAAGAAGAGAUUGAUGUAGUUCGAAUAGAAUGGGCGGAGCAGGUUGAUGGAUAUAUUGAAGAUGAAGUAAAAUAGUCAGCAUGUAUUACUUGUUUUGGAUGGUAUGAAUUGAGUUAUAUAUGUAGCAGCUGCGACUAGCUUUGAAUUAUGUAGUUAGCUUCAAAUCACUAGUAGUAGUACAUUCUGGUGUUGGACUUGUUGUUUCUGCAGGCUACUUCUUUUGGAUCUUAGACAUGUAUUGAUGGGUGUUCUAUAUAUAUAUGGACUUGUUUGAU